Molecule: ribosomal RNA, 209 nt
Filed under: uncultured Staphylococcus sp.
Lineage: Bacteria; Bacillati; Bacillota; Bacilli; Caryophanales; Staphylococcaceae
Description: partial 16S ribosomal RNA
Rfam family: Bacterial small subunit ribosomal RNA
Source: RNAcentral
CGGAACGGAGCUAAUACCGGAUAAUAUUUCGAACCGCAUGGUUCGAUAGUGAAAGGUGGUUUUGCUAUCACUUAUAGAUGGACCCGCGCCGUAUUAGCUAGUUGGUAAGGUAACGGCUUACCAAGGCGACGAUACGUAGCCGACCUGAGAGGGUGAUCGGCCACACUGGAACUGAGACACGGUCCAGACUCCUACGGGAGGCAGCAGUC